RNAcentral lists this transfer RNA (81 nucleotides) under Ovis aries (sheep). It matches the Rfam family "tRNA". From Rfam's summary of the family: Transfer RNA (tRNA) molecules are approximately 80 nucleotides in length. Their secondary structure includes four short double-helical elements and three loops (D, anti-codon, and T loops). Lineage: Eukaryota; Metazoa; Chordata; Mammalia; Artiodactyla; Bovidae. The record is from Rfam by way of RNAcentral.
UCCCAGGUGGCUAAGUGGGUAAAGAAACUGCCUCUAAUGCAGGAAACGCCGGAGAUCAGGGUUCGAUUCCUGGGUUGGGAA